AAGAUGAUGUACCAGUUUUUGAGCCUUCAUGAAGGGCCAAUUACUAAGGUUAGCCUUGAUAUUGUUCUUCUAGCAAGCUGUCCUGAGAUUGACAACUUCAUAUAUUUCCUCUCGAGGAAUAACAUUCAACAUCUUGCACUUCACCUUCCACAUAGAAAUGAAUACAAAUUGCCUUCUUCACUUUUCACAUGUUCGCAGCUGAGGCAUCUAAGUCUUGCUUAUUGCUCAAUACAACAUCCAUU
This 242-nucleotide unclassified non-coding RNA is filed under the name Hevea brasiliensis (rubber tree). Lineage: Eukaryota; Viridiplantae; Streptophyta; Magnoliopsida; Malpighiales; Euphorbiaceae. The record is from RNAcentral.